GAUAGCCAGACUCCAAAAUUAUGCCC
This 26-nucleotide non-coding RNA is filed under the name Rattus norvegicus (Norway rat). Lineage: Eukaryota; Metazoa; Chordata; Mammalia; Rodentia; Muridae. The record is from RNAcentral.